UGGGGGUGGAUCCCUGACACAGGGCUUGAUGC
Molecule: non-coding RNA, 32 nt
Filed under: Homo sapiens (human)
Lineage: Eukaryota; Metazoa; Chordata; Mammalia; Primates; Hominidae
Source: RNAcentral